RNAcentral lists this ribosomal RNA (253 nucleotides) under uncultured bacterium. RNAcentral describes it as "partial 16S ribosomal RNA". It matches the Rfam family "Bacterial small subunit ribosomal RNA", at positions 524 to 776 of the family's 1533-position model. The record is from RNAcentral.
UACGUAGGGUGCAAGCGUUGUCCGGAAUUAUUGGGCGUAAAGAGCUCGUAGGCGGUCUGUCGCGUCGGCUGUGAAAACCCGGAGCUCAACUCCGGGCCUGCAGUCGAUACGGGCAGACUGGAGUUCGGCAGGGGAGACUGGAAUUCCUGGUGUAGCGGUGAAAUGCGCAGAUAUCAGGAGGAACACCGGUGGCGAAGGCGGGUCCCUGGGCCGAUACUGACGCUGAGGAGCGAAAGCGUGGGGAGCGAACAGG